CGGGUGAGUAACACGUUUGCAACCUUCCUCUAACUGGAGAAUAGCCCGAAGAGAUUCGGAUUAAUACCCCAUAAAGUCAAUUUAAGGCAUCUUUUAUUGAUUAAAGCUCCGGCGGUUAGAGAUGGGCAUGCGUGUCAUUAGCUAGUUGGUGAGGUAACGGCUCACCAAGGCCACGAUGACUAGGGGGUCUGAGAGGAUGAUCCCCCACACUGGUACUGAGACACGGACCAGACUCCUACGGGAGGCAGCAGUGAGGAAUAUUGGGCAAUGGACGCAAGUCUGACCCAGCCAUGCCGCGUGCAGGAUGACUGCCCUAUGGGUUGUAAACUGCUUUUGUUUGGGAAGAAACCCCCGAUCGUGAUCGGGGCUGACGGUACCAUACGAAUAAGCAUCGGCUAACUCCGUGCCAGCAGCCGCGGUAAUACGGAGGAUGCAAGCGUUAUCCGGAUUCAUUGGGUUUAAAGGGUGCGCAGGCGGAAUAUUAAGUCAGUGGUGAAAUCCUGCAGCUUAACUGUAGAACUGCCAUUGAUACUGAUAUUCUUGAAUAUAGUUGAGGUGGGCGGAAUGUGUAAUGUAGCGGUGAAAUGCUUAGAUAUUACACAGAACACCAAUUGCGAAGGCAGCUCACUAAACUAAUAUUGACGCUGAGGCACGAAAGCGUGGGUAGCAAACAGGAUUAGAUACCCUGGUAGUCCACGCUGUAAACUAUGAUCACUCGCUGUUGGCAAUACAUCGUCAGCGGCUGAGCGAAAGCAUUAAGUGAUCCACCUGGGGAGUACGGUCGCAAGAUUGAAACUCAAAGGAAUUGACGGGGGCCCGCACAAGCGGAGGAACAUGUGGUUUAAUUCGAUGAUACGCGAGGAACCUUACCUGGGCUUAAAUGCAGAGCGACGUCCGCCGAAAGGUGGAUUCCUUCGGGCGAUCUGCAAGGUGCUGCAUGGUUGUCGUCAGCUCGUGCCGUGAGGUGUCGGGUUAAGUCCCAUAACGAGCGCAACCCUUAUCGUUAGUUGCCAGCGGGUAAUGCCGGGGACUCUAACGAAACUGCCGGUCGCAAACCGUGAGGAAGGUGGGGAUGACGUCAAAUCAGCACGGCCCUUAUGUCCAGGGCUACACACGUGUUACAAUGGUCGGUACAGAGGGCAGCUACCACGCAAGU
Molecule: ribosomal RNA, 1156 nt
Filed under: uncultured organism
Description: bacterial SSU rRNA
Rfam family: Bacterial small subunit ribosomal RNA
Source: RNAcentral